Molecule: transfer RNA, 86 nt
Filed under: Intestinibaculum porci
Lineage: Bacteria; Bacillati; Bacillota; Erysipelotrichia; Erysipelotrichales; Erysipelotrichaceae
Description: tRNA-Leu
Rfam family: tRNA
About the family: Transfer RNA (tRNA) molecules are approximately 80 nucleotides in length. Their secondary structure includes four short double-helical elements and three loops (D, anti-codon, and T loops).
Source: RNAcentral
GCGGUCGUGGUGGAAUGGUAGACACGCAGCUUUGAGGGGGCUGUGGGCAUUAGCCCGUGUGAGUUCAAGUCUCAUCGACCGCACCA